CCUACGGGGAGCAGCAGUGAGGAAUAUUGGUCAAUGGACGCAAGUCUGAUCCAGCCAUGCCGCGUGCAGGAAGACGGCUCUAUGAGUUGUAAACUGCUUUUGUACGAGGGUAAACGCAGAUACGCGUAUCUGUCUGAAAGUAUCGUACGAAUAAGGAUCGGCUAACUCCGUGCCAGCAGCCGCGGUAAUACGGAGGAUUCAAGCGUUAUCCGGAUUUAUUGGGUUUAAAGGGUGCGUAGGCGGUUGGAUAAGUUAGAGGUGAAAUCCCGGGGCUCAACUUCGGAAUUGCCUCUGAUACUGUUAGGCUAGAGAGUAGUUGCGGUAGGCGGAAUGUAUGGUGUAGCGGUGAAAUGCUUAGAGAUCAUACAGAACACCGAUUGCGAAGGCAGCUUACCAAGCUACGUCGGACGUUGAGGCACGAAAGCGUGGGGAGCAAACAGGAUUAGAUACCCCUGUAGUC
RNAcentral lists this ribosomal RNA (460 nucleotides) under uncultured bacterium. Its description in RNAcentral is "partial 16S ribosomal RNA". It matches the Rfam family "Bacterial small subunit ribosomal RNA", at positions 338 to 795 of the family's 1533-position model. The record is from RNAcentral.